RNAcentral lists this transfer RNA (74 nucleotides) under Tylopilus plumbeoviolaceoides. RNAcentral's name for it is "tRNA-Leu". Lineage: Eukaryota; Fungi; Basidiomycota; Agaricomycetes; Boletales; Boletaceae. The record is from RNAcentral.
UGAGAUUUAAUAUAAUAGGAAGAAUAUGAGUUUUCAGAAUACUCAAAGUAACCGUUCAAAUCGGUUAACCUCAA